This 2672-nucleotide ribosomal RNA is filed under the name Escherichia coli. RNAcentral describes it as "partial 23S ribosomal RNA". It matches the Rfam family "Bacterial large subunit ribosomal RNA". Lineage: Bacteria; Pseudomonadati; Pseudomonadota; Gammaproteobacteria; Enterobacterales; Enterobacteriaceae. The record is from RNAcentral.
GCGGCGAGCGAACGGGGAGGAGCCCAGAGCCUGAAUCAGUGUGUGUGUUAGUGGAAGCGUCUGGAAAGGCGCGCGAUACAGGGUGACAGCCCCGUACACAAAAAUGCACAUAUUGUGAGCUCGAUGAGUAGGGCGGGACACGUGGUAUCCUGUCUGAAUAUGGGGGGACCAUCCUCCAAGGCUAAAUACUCCUGACUGACCGAUAGUGAACCAGUACCGUGAGGGAAAGGCGAAAAGAACCCCGGCGAGGGGAGUGAAAAAGAACCUGAAACCGUGUACGUACAAGCAGUGGGAGCCUCUUUAUGGGGUGACUGCGUACCUUUUGUAUAAUGGGUCAGCGACUUAUAUUCUGUAGCAAGGUUAACCGAAUAGGGGAGCCGAAGGGAAACCGAGUCUUAACUGGGCGUUAAGUUGCAGGGUAUAGACCCGAAACCCGGUGAUCUAGCCAUGGGCAGGUUGAAGGUUGGGUAACACUAACUGGAGGACCGAACCGACUAAUGUUGAAAAAUUAGCGGAUGACUUGUGGCUGGGGGUGAAAGGCCAAUCAAACCGGGAGAUAGCUGGUUCUCCCCGAAAGCUAUUUAGGUAGCGCCUCGUGAAUUCAUCUCCGGGGGUAGAGCACUGUUUCGGCAAGGGGGUCAUCCCGACUUACCAACCCGAUGCAAACUGCGAAUACCGGAGAAUGUUAUCACGGGAGACACACGGCGGGUGCUAACGUCCGUCGUGAAGAGGGAAACAACCCAGACCGCCAGCUAAGGUCCCAAAGUCAUGGUUAAGUGGGAAACGAUGUGGGAAGGCCCAGACAGCCAGGAUGUUGGCUUAGAAGCAGCCAUCAUUUAAAGAAAGCGUAAUAGCUCACUGGUCGAGUCGGCCUGCGCGGAAGAUGUAACGGGGCUAAACCAUGCACCGAAGCUGCGGCAGCGACACUAUGUGUUGUUGGGUAGGGGAGCGUUCUGUAAGCCUGUGAAGGUGGCCUGUGAGGGUUGCUGGAGGUAUCAGAAGUGCGAAUGCUGACAUAAGUAACGAUAAAGCGGGUGAAAAGCCCGCUCGCCGGAAGACCAAGGGUUCCUGUCCAACGUUAAUCGGGGCAGGGUGAGUCGACCCCUAAGGCGAGGCCGAAAGGCGUAGUCGAUGGGAAACAGGUUAAUAUUCCUGUACUUGGUGUUACUGCGAAGGGGGGACGGAGAAGGCUAUGUUGGCCGGGCGACGGUUGUCCCGGUUUAAGCGUGUAGGCUGGUUUUCCAGGCAAAUCCGGAAAACCAAGGCUGAGGCGUGAUGACGAGGCACUACGGUGCUGAAGCGACAAAUGCCCUGCUUCCAGGAAAAGCCUCUAAGCAUCAGGUAACAUCAAAUCGUACCCCAAACCGACACAGGUGGUCAGGUAGAGAAUACCAAGGCGCUUGAGAGAACUCGGGUGAAGGAACUAGGCAAAAUGGUGCCGUAACUUCGGGAGAAGGCACGCUGAUAUGUAGGUGAAGCGACUUGCUCGUGGAGCUGAAAUCAGUCGAAGAUACCAGCUGGCUGCAACUGUUUAUUAAAAACACAGCACUGUGCAAACACGAAAGUGGACGUAUACGGUGUGACGCCUGCCCGGUGCCGGAAGGUUAAUUGAUGGGGUUAGCGGUAACGCGAAGCUCUUGAUCGAAGCCCCGGUAAACGGCGGCCGUAACUAUAACGGUCCUAAGGUAGCGAAAUUCCUUGUCGGGUAAGUUCCGACCUGCACGAAUGGCGUAAUGAUGGCCAGGCUGUCUCCACCCGAGACUCAGUGAAAUUGAACUCGCUGUGAAGAUGCAGUGUACCCGCGGCAAGACGGAAAGACCCCGUGAACCUUUACUAUAGCUUGACACUGAACAUUGAGCCUUGAUGUGUAGGAUAGGUGGGAGGCUUUGAAGUGUGGACGCCAGUCUGCAUGGAGCCGACCUUGAAAUACCACCCUUUAAUGUUUGAUGUUCUAACGUUGGCCCGUAAUCCGGGUUGCGGACAGUGUCUGGUGGGUAGUUUGACUGGGGCGGUCUCCUCCUAAAGAGUAACGGAGGAGCACGAAGGUUGGCUAAUCCUGGUCGGACAUCAGGAGGUUAGUGCAAUGGCAUAAGCCAGCUUGACUGCGAGCGUGACGGCGCGAGCAGGUGCGAAAGCAGGUCAUAGUGAUCCGGUGGUUCUGAAUGGAAGGGCCAUCGCUCAACGGAUAAAAGGUACUCCGGGGAUAACAGGCUGAUACCGCCCAAGAGUUCAUAUCGACGGCGGUGUUUGGCACCUCGAUGUCGGCUCAUCACAUCCUGGGGCUGAAGUAGGUCCCAAGGGUAUGGCUGUUCGCCAUUUAAAGUGGUACGCGAGCUGGGUUUAGAACGUCGUGAGACAGUUCGGUCCCUAUCUGCCGUGGGCGCUGGAGAACUGAGGGGGGCUGCUCCUAGUACGAGAGGACCGGAGUGGACGCAUCACUGGUGUUCGGGUUGUCAUGCCAAUGGCACUGCCCGGUAGCUAAAUGCGGAAGAGAUAAGUGCUGAAAGCAUCUAAGCACGAAACUUGCCCCGAGAUGAGUUCUCCCUGAGACUUAGAGUCUCCUGAAGGAACGUUGAAGACGACGACGUUGAUAGGCCGGGUGUGUAAGCGCAGCGAUGCGUUGAGCUAACCGGUACUAAUGAACCGUGAGGCUUAACCUUACAACGCCGAAG